RNAcentral lists this unclassified non-coding RNA (334 nucleotides) under uncultured fungus. Its description in RNAcentral is "partial contains small subunit ribosomal RNA, internal transcribed spacer 1, and 5.8S ribosomal RNA". The stretch from base 1 to 73 matches the Rfam family "Eukaryotic small subunit ribosomal RNA", at positions 1759 to 1831 of the family's 1831-position model. The record is from RNAcentral. Lineage: Eukaryota; Fungi.
GCAAACUUGGUCAUUUAGAGGAAGUAAAAGUCGUAACAAGGUUUCCGUAGGUGAACCUGCGGAAGGAUCAUUAACAAAUCGUUGUAUGGCGGUCGGCCCCGAAAGGGACCCUCCCCAUAUAUAUUAGCCCCGAGCCUGGCAGCGAUGCCGGCUCUGGUUGGGCAGGCCGCACUAAUCCUGCGGGCUGCUCCGGUCGUGUGCUGGGGGCCUCCGGGUCCCUAUGCCAGUGGCCACAUAGACGCUUGUAUGUUUGACAGAGUCGUUGGUUGACAACACUAAAGUGACAACUUUUAACAAUGGAUCUCUUGGCUCUUGCAUCGAUGAAGAACGCAGC